GGGGUUGUAACUCAGUGGUAGAGUGUUAGCUUUGCAUGCGAAAAGCCCGGAGUUCAAUCCUCCGCAACUCCA
RNAcentral lists this transfer RNA (72 nucleotides) under Daphnia magna. Its description in RNAcentral is "tRNA-Ala". It matches the Rfam family "tRNA". Rfam says of the family: Transfer RNA (tRNA) molecules are approximately 80 nucleotides in length. Their secondary structure includes four short double-helical elements and three loops (D, anti-codon, and T loops). Further hydrogen bonds mediate the characteristic L-shaped molecular structure. tRNAs have two regions of fundamental functional importance: the anti-codon, which is responsible for specific mRNA codon recognition, and the 3' end, to which the tRNAs corresponding amino acid is attached (by aminoacyl-tRNA synthetases). tRNAs cope with the degeneracy of the genetic code in two manners: having more than one tRNA (with a specific anti-codon) for a particular amino acid; and 'wobble' base-pairing, i.e. permitting non-standard base-pairing at the 3rd anti-codon position. The record is from RNAcentral. Lineage: Eukaryota; Metazoa; Arthropoda; Branchiopoda; Diplostraca; Daphniidae.